CGCGUAGGUGGUAGUGUAAGUCCUGGGUGGAAUCCCAGGGCUUAACCCUGGAACUGGCCUUGGAAACUGUAUUACUUGAGUCAGUGAGGGGAGGGUAGAAUUCCUGGUGUAGCGGUGAAAUGCGUAGAUAUCAGGAGGAAGGCCUGUGGCGAAGGCGGCCCUCUGGCGCUGGACUGACACUGAGGCGCGAAAGCGUGGGGAGCAAGCAGGAUUAGAUACCCUGGUAGUCCACGCCCUAAACGGUGGGCACUAGGUGUAGGGCUCGUAAGGGUUCUGUGCCGAAGGGAAACCAUUAAGUGCCCCGCCUGGGGAGUACGGCCGCAAGGUUGAA
This 331-nucleotide ribosomal RNA is filed under the name uncultured bacterium. RNAcentral describes it as "bacterial SSU rRNA". It matches the Rfam family "Bacterial small subunit ribosomal RNA", at positions 568 to 898 of the family's 1533-position model. The record is from RNAcentral.